CGACGCGUCGAAUUGGUUGUGAAUUAUGUUGCAUUUCUUAUACAUAUCACAGCCAUUUUGACGAGUUCGA
RNAcentral lists this microRNA precursor (70 nucleotides) under Musca domestica (house fly). RNAcentral's name for it is "mir-2 microRNA precursor family". It matches the Rfam family "mir-2 microRNA precursor family". Rfam says of the family: The miRNAs are transcribed as ~70nt precursors (modelled here) and subsequently processed by the Dicer enzyme to give a ~22nt product. In this case the mature sequence comes from the 3' arm of the precursor. The record is from Rfam by way of RNAcentral. Lineage: Eukaryota; Metazoa; Arthropoda; Insecta; Diptera; Muscidae.